RNAcentral lists this ribosomal RNA (805 nucleotides) under Triticum aestivum (bread wheat). RNAcentral's name for it is "partial small subunit ribosomal RNA". Lineage: Eukaryota; Viridiplantae; Streptophyta; Magnoliopsida; Poales; Poaceae. The record is from RNAcentral.
GUGGUUCAUUAAUUCCAGCUGCAAUAAGUAAACUAGUGCUAAAUAAUCUGUGCUACUACUUGGCUCUGGAUUUUUCAGGGAAAGGGAAGGGGAGAAACGGAAGCAUUCGCGCAGCACGCAAAGUGUGUGCACGUUUUUUCCUUCUUCUUCUUCUUCUCCUCGACUAAUCGACCAUCCAGACCGAGGCAACAAACACGCACGAAUCAAGGACGAAAGGAGAAAGAAAGACCUCUAUUUUGACCUCAUGUUCUCGCGGCGGACAGAAAAACCACUGAUUUCAGCGAGCGAAAUCCGAACACGAACGAACAUCGCAAGAAACAGAAAAGAAAAACAGAGUCAAAUCGAAUGGGCGUAGAACAGGGGAGGGGAGGGGAGGGAGGGGGUUUACCCACCGCGAAAUCUGCCGGCCUCUCGAUCUGCGCGUCCUCGAAUCCCUCCACGCACAUGUCCGGUUCGCCGCCGCCGGUGAGUUCUUCUUCUUCCCGACCUCUCGCUCUGGCUCCCGCGUUCGCCCUGUUACUCUGCCUCACGAUUGGACUCGAACUGCCGCCGCAGGUUCCGGUGAAGAAGGAUUGAAGGAUUGAAGGGGGAGUGGGACGCGACCGAGACCGGGACGGGCUUGGAAUCGGAGCAGAAGAUUCGCGGGAAUAUCUCUCUAAGCUAGCUCUCUGUUUCGAUCGGGGGUAGGAAAAGGAAGGGAAGGCGGAGGCGGAUGUGGGAUUUGCUGCUGGUUUCUUUCUCUUCUCUCUUCUGUCUUCUCUGUUUACGGAGACGGGGAGGGGAGAGAGGGGAGAGGAGGUAUUUA